AUGGCAAUUGUCCAUACAUACGGGAAGCCUGACAUCUUCUUGACCAUGACUUGCAAUCCUAAAUGGGAAGAGAUAACGAAUGAGUUGCUGCCUGGUCAGACGGCGCAAGACCGACCUGAUAUUGUGGGUCGCGUGUUCUACGGCAAGCUAGAGGCUAUGAAGGACAUGUUGUUCAAGAAGCAUAUCCUGGGUGUUAUUGUCGCAUAUGUAUAUGUAGUCGAGUUCCAAAAAAGGGGCCUC
This 240-nucleotide ribosomal RNA is filed under the name Triticum aestivum (bread wheat). RNAcentral's name for it is "partial small subunit ribosomal RNA". Lineage: Eukaryota; Viridiplantae; Streptophyta; Magnoliopsida; Poales; Poaceae. The record is from RNAcentral.